Molecule: unclassified non-coding RNA, 386 nt
Filed under: soil metagenome
Description: partial contains 5.8S ribosomal RNA, internal transcribed spacer 2, and large subunit ribosomal RNA
Rfam family: 5.8S ribosomal RNA (bases 1-120)
Source: RNAcentral
GAUGAAGAACGCAGCGAAAUGCGAUAAGUAAUGUGAAUUGCAGAAUUCAGUGAAUCAUCGAAUCUUUGAACGCACCUUCCACCCUUUGGUAUUCCGAAGGGUAUGCUCGUUUGAGUGUCAUUGUACUCUCACACUUCUAAUUCCUUUCGGGAUUGGGAGCGGUGGACUUGGGUGUUGCUGCUUUAGUUGUGGCUCACCUCAAAUAAGUUAGUGCAACUCUUGGUUGGACAUAGUACGGCGUGAUAAGUGUCUUCGCCGGCGCCUCUGUAAGGAGGGUGGCCGAUCGGGAGCUCUGUGCUUCAAACCGUCUUCGGACAAUCUUUGACAACUUGACCUCAAAUCGAGUAGGACUACCCGCUGAACUUAAGCAUAUCAAAAGCGGAGGA